This 239-nucleotide unclassified non-coding RNA is filed under the name uncultured fungus. RNAcentral describes it as "sequence contains ITS2". The stretch from base 1 to 52 matches the Rfam family "5.8S ribosomal RNA", at positions 103 to 154 of the family's 154-position model. Lineage: Eukaryota; Fungi. The record is from RNAcentral.
AACGCACAUUGCGCCCGCUGGUAUUCCGGCGGGCAUGCCUGUUCGAGCGUCAUUAUGACCAAUCAAGCUCUGCUUGGCCUUGGAGCCCGCUAUAUUAGCGGCUUUUAAAAUCAGUGGCGGUGCCGUCUGGCUCUAAGCGUAGUAAUACCUCUCGCUAUAGGGUUUAGUCGUUCAUUCUCCAGAACCCCCAACUUUCUUAGGUUGACCUCGGAUCAGGUAGGGAUACCCGCUGAACUUAA